UCCGAUUUGUCACCGGCGGUCUCCCUAGAGUGCCCAACUAAAUGCUGGCAACUAAAGACAAGGGUUGCGCUCGUUGCGGGACUUAACCCAACAUCUCACGACACGAGCUGACGACAGCCAUGCAGCACCUGUGAAUCGGCCCUUGCGGGCGAGGACAUCUCUGCCACUCUUCCAAUCCAUGUCAAACCCGGGUAAGGUUUUGCGCGUUGCAUCGAAUUAAACCACAUACUCCACCGCUUGUGCGGGCCCCCGUCAAUUUCUUUGAGUUUUAAUCUUGCGACCGUACUCCCCAGGCGGGAUACUUAACGCGUUAGCUUCGUCACUGAAGGGGUCAAUACCUCCAACAACAAGUAUCCAUCGUUUACGGUGCGGACUAC
This 377-nucleotide unclassified non-coding RNA is filed under the name uncultured Pseudobdellovibrionaceae bacterium. RNAcentral's name for it is "uncultured Bdellovibrionaceae bacterium contains 16S-23S intergenic spacer region". The record is from RNAcentral. Lineage: Bacteria; Pseudomonadati; Bdellovibrionota; Bdellovibrionia; Bdellovibrionales; Pseudobdellovibrionaceae.